ACAAAAACAACUUUUAGCAAUGGAUCUCUUGGUUUCCGCAUCGAUGAAGAGCGUAGCAAAUUGCGAUAACUAGUGCGAAUUGCAGACUUUGUGAAUCAUCGAGUUCUCGAACGCAUCUUGCACCUAGUGGUUUAUUCUACUAGGUACGGUUGCUUCAGUAUCACGAAACUCACCAACUCAACCUUUUGGGUUUGAAGAUGGAGCUGGACUUGCUAGGAUCGUUUGACGGUCUUGGUAGUCUGAAAUAGAGUAUACCAAAUGUCUUUUUGACCUUGUUUCAAAGAGAUUGGACUAUAAAGUGUACCUAGGUUCGGUAUGAUUUACCUAGUGUCGUCUGAUCUUUGGAGGUUAAUGUGAUUGGGAUUUUGGUGGAGGUGUAAAAAGGCCUCUAAAAUAUCUACCAAAACUGUGAUCUGAAGUCAA
Molecule: small RNA, 423 nt
Filed under: Thamnostylum piriforme
Lineage: Eukaryota; Fungi; Mucoromycota; Mucoromycetes; Mucorales; Lichtheimiaceae
Description: eukaryotic LSU rRNA
Rfam family: 5.8S ribosomal RNA (bases 9-163)
Source: RNAcentral